AAAGUGCGAUAAGCAAUGCGAAUUGCAGAAUUCCGCGAAUCAUCAGAUCCUUGAACGCAACUGGCGCUAGGAGGCUCUCCUCCUAGCAUGUCUGUUUCAGUGUCUGCAAACAUCACACUAAACUUAAUGUGGUUGACAGAAAGAAAGGAGGGGGUUCUUCCCUUCUUAUCUUGAAGUCUUCCAUUAAAGAUGUUGUGUGUGUCGGUCUUUAGGACUCCUCAUCGGACUUUUGGUCACUGUUCUUCAGUGAUUUCGAUUGAGUGACCUAAUUACCCGACUUGAUGAUCUAAAAAACCAUCAGCACACAAGAACCUUCUGGUAGUUAGAAAGGGUAACCCCCUUUCCUAACUUACCUAGUCUUCUAACUCUGCAUCUGAAAUCAGGCAAGAACACCCGCUGAACUUAA
RNAcentral lists this unclassified non-coding RNA (406 nucleotides) under uncultured fungus. RNAcentral's name for it is "sequence contains ITS1". The stretch from base 1 to 105 matches the Rfam family "5.8S ribosomal RNA", at positions 50 to 154 of the family's 154-position model. Lineage: Eukaryota; Fungi. The record is from RNAcentral.